CAGGAGUUUAUUACCAGCCGGGACCUGAGCUGAGCAUCAGACUCGAGCCCCAACUGGGGGAAGAUAAACAUGUUUUAUACACCUUUUAGGCUAACAGUUCCUAGGCCCCCCUAUGGGAUAGAACUAGCGAAGCAAGCAAAAGGUACAGAAGCAGAAUGUCUUGCUGUUAGAACAUUUGUAAAACAAUAGUUGAUUGUUAUUUUUAAAGGGACUCUUUAAGGGGAGGAGGUUUCUAAGCUUCCUCCUUCUGAGUUCAUCUAAAGGACAGGCAAGGCAGGUGGGUCAAGCAGAAAUAUGGAGUCUGUCUUGCUAACUAGGGUCCUUCAUUCCCCACUGGUUCUUGCAACUUAAUCAAAUCUUUGAUUCCUGUAUUUACUCUUUGGAUUUUUUUUAAACGUCUUCUAAAAUCUCAUAAUUUUGUCUCAACACCAUCAAUUUUGAAACCAAUUUUGAUCCUUUUGUUGAGCAUAUUUAGUCUUUUUAAAUUUUCCCUGACCAUAGCUAGGGUAUCUCUAAUGACACCAGACUGAUUAGCAUAAAAGCAACAGGUUUUUUUUCUAGAGCUACACAUAAUCCUCCUUGUUUUAUGAACAGAAGAUUAAGUCCCCUUUGAUUUUGUAAGACCAUUUUAGCUAGGGAAUCAACCUGUUUUCAACCUGGAGAUUGAGUCUUCCACGUGGCCCAAAUCUCUAGCUACCUGGUGGCUUAGGGCUUUAAAAUUUGUGUCCUGAAGGAUUAGGGAGGAAGUUCCAAUAGCCACUGACCUGGCUAUUCCUAAUCCCACCAGAAUGGGUACUAAAAUGAGGGCAGCCUGUUUACUCCUAUAGUGUUCAGUGGUUAAUCCCAGAUGUUCGUGGCCCCCUUUUCCAUUAUAAUACAAGACUUGUGGAACAACAUACAUAGUAACACAAAAUAAACUGGCAGAUUGAGUGGCUAAGACCAACUUGGGUAUACACUUAGUCAAGCCCUUGGUACAAGCAAACAAGGCAUCUUCUGGAGCCUUAUAAUAUAAAGGGGAGCCUGGAGUUUUAUGGUUGGUGAAAGUUAAGUUACAUAAACCCUGGUGAACUAUCCAGGUUAUAAUUUGUCCCAGUCAGACAUGUUUCUGUUCCUUGUACAUUCCCUAAAGUUGGCAUAGGUUUGUUCCAGUUACCGUCAGUGGAAGACACAGAUUUAGGCACAGAGGUCACUCUCACCCCUACAUAAUAGGGGGGCUUUGGGUCUAGACAUAACCAACAAUCUCCUCUUUUUUUUUCCAGUCUAGACAAAUUUAGCAAUUUAUGAACCUUAGUUAAUAUCUGUAAGAUUGGUAUGGUGGUCUUCGGCCUCUUGGGGGUGGAGAUUUUCCAAAGGAGUGAAUGUUUUGACAUCA
RNAcentral lists this long non-coding RNA (1372 nucleotides) under Heterocephalus glaber (naked mole-rat). RNAcentral's name for it is "lncRNA (ENSHGLG00100040543.1)". Lineage: Eukaryota; Metazoa; Chordata; Mammalia; Rodentia; Bathyergidae. The record is from RNAcentral.